CCGGACCUGCUUAUAGUGAUUUAUUUAUUAACAUCUUUCCAGGGAUUCUGUGAAUAAUAUUGAAGUCUUGAGGCAGAUUUUAAUAGAUUGCUGUUGGCUGACUGUAUAUUAAGUCCGGUUGCGCUGUGUGUGAUAACGUUGCACUGCCGUGGUGCUAGCUAGUGCUAAGCUAGUCAAGUUCAACAGCCAGUAUUCUCAACUUGUGGCAGUAAGAUUCUUUCCCGAAAGAUGGUUGGAAAUGUGUAUUUGCAGUUGGACUGACCUUUUACUGGAUUCCUCCAAUCACGCAAUACCAUCAGCGCUAGGAGGGUGAAGGAUGGUGAUAUGGCUGCAACUGAACGGGUGAUCGGGAGACUGUUCUUGGGAUCUAUGUGACUAGAGUUGAGGGAGCUGAAGCCAUGGACCCACCUGCCAAUACUGGAGUGGUAUUAGACGGUGGUGUGGUUCUAGAAGACCUGGGCAGUGUGUUCCUUGCCUUUGCAGUUCGGGCUGAUUUAUGCCUUAUAUAUUUAUAACCUUAUGAUUUAGAACUUGAGUUACCCUCCUACAUUCAGAUACACUUUUGAUGCACUCCAAAAACUGUUUCUGGAACUAGAUGCUAACAAACUGUCUCAUAAAGCUCAAUUACUAAAUAUAAAGCUAUUCAGUGAGAUGUAGUCCAUACUGAGUAUUACACUUGUGAUGUUCUGUUUAUCGAAUCCCACUGUGGUUGCACUUUCUGAAAACUUUAAUGUUGGCACUGACUUUUGUACAUUAAAUAAUUACAUAAUUCAGAUUUGUUCAGAAGUGUUUCAUGCCCAUGUUUUGUAGACAUUUCACUUAACUGUAUGCUGCUUUGUUAAACAUUUUCCAUUUAAAUGAAUUUUGAUUGCACUUAUUGUAUGCUGUAUUGUGUUAGA
This is a long non-coding RNA of Trichomycterus rosablanca, 899 nucleotides long. RefSeq lists it as uncharacterized. The record is from RefSeq and is a predicted model, not a curated record. NCBI's taxonomy places the organism in Eukaryota, Metazoa, Chordata, Actinopteri, Siluriformes, Trichomycteridae. The transcript has 4 exons.